GACUAGUAAUGUACCUCAAGAGCUCUGUUCUUGGCAAAAGCUUCAGGAUCAGCAGAUAAACCAGCAGUGUCCCAUCCAUAAUCACCAGGGAAUUCUCCGGUCAAGUAUGAAGGAGUUUGAGCAGAAAAGGGUCCUAAGUACUUGACACGAUCUGGUCCAUACCAUAAAUCAUUUCCCUAACCAUAUCAAACGAAAAAGAGCAAGACAACAUUCCGUCAGAAUAUACAAACAGAAUUCAGGAGGGGAAGGGCUAUAUAGUGUGUAUUUUAUUAAUUAGUUUGCUCCGUUUAAAUAGCUCUGAGUAUGCUAUAAAGUUAGAGCAAAAUCUAGGUGCUUUUGUGCUGCUUCUUUUUGGAUGUGGAUUCCCUUGUAUUAUUAUACCUAGGUAUAUUGUGUAAGCCAGGGAUAAAUCUAAUGUAUCAUCUAGUAAUUGACUCUAAUAAUUCUAACUGUACCUAUUAUACUUAAUACGUACAGUUUGGCUCUAGUUUUAAGUGAUCAAUAUGAACAAGAGCUAGUAUGAGUGUUUAAGCGAAAAAAAUAGACAAGUUUAAGAGGCUGCUUAUGUAUUUGGCCUAUGUCUUUCAUGGCUAUAGAGGACAAAGCAUGUUUCUUUUCUCCUUACUUUGUACUCUUUUUAUCAAUUUAAGAUUUUAACUAGGUGGUUUCUGUAAAAAUAAAAAGAAUUUUUAAGUUAUAUAUGCUCGCAAUAUAAAACUUUUGAUAUCAUUAGUAAACUUAACUAGUGAUAACAUGUUACUACUAUUUUAUCACGUAUUAAUAUUGUGUAUAUCAUUAGUGCAUAAAAAGUUAAACUCAGAUAAAAUCUUAAAACAGGGAAGAGAAGGGGGCAAUGGGGAUGGAUGAGAAUAUAUACCAUGGUAAAUUUGGCAGAGCCCAUGGGAACAACAUCUCUAAGAGGGUUAGCAUUCUUGGUUUGACCCAAAAAUGGGGUUGCUCUAACAACUGUGGUGGAGCUUGCUGUUGCUGCCAUUGAUGCCAUUUUCUCU
This 1010-nucleotide long non-coding RNA is filed under the name Nicotiana tabacum (common tobacco). RNAcentral describes it as "long non-coding RNA (NTAB_LNC008940)". Lineage: Eukaryota; Viridiplantae; Streptophyta; Magnoliopsida; Solanales; Solanaceae. The record is from RNAcentral.